UGCCCCUGACUCUGGGAUAAGCCUGGGAAACCGGGUCUAAUACUGGAUACGACUCCUCACCGCAUGGUGGGGGGUGGAAAGGGUUCACUGGUUUUGGAUGGGCUCACGGCCUAUCAGCUUGUUGGUGGGGUAAUGGCUCACCAAGGCGACGACGGGUAGCCGGCCUGAGAGGGUGACCGGCCACACUGGGACUGAGACACGGCCCAGACUCCUACGGGAGGCAGCAGUGGGGAAUAUUGCACAAUGGGCGAAAGCCUGAUGCAGCGACGCCGCGUGAGGGAUGACGGCCUUCGGGUUGUAAACCUCUUUCAGUAGGGAAGAAGCGCAAGUGACGGUACCUGCAGAAGAAGCGCCGGCUAACUACGUGCCAGCAGCCGCGGUAAUACGUAGGGCGCAAGCGUUGUCCGGAAUUAUUGGGCGUAAAGAGCUCGUAGGCGGUUUGUCGCGUCCGCUGUGAAAGCCCGGGGCUCAACCCCGGGUCGGCAGUGGGUACGGGCAGACUAGAGUGCAGUAGGGGAGACUGGAAUUCCUGGUGUAGCGGUGAAAUGCGCAGAUAUCAGGAGGAACACCGAUGGCGAAGGCAGGUCUCUGGGCUGUUACUGACGCUGAGGAGCGAAAGCAUGGGGAGCGAACAGGAUUAGAUACCCUGGUAGUCCAUGCCGUAAACGUUGGGCACUAGGUGUGGGGGACAUUCCACGUUCUCCGCGCCGUAGCUAACGCAUUAAGUGCCCCGCCUGGGGAGUACGGCCGCAAGGCUAAAACUCAAAGGAAUUGACGGGGGCCCGCACAAGCGGCGGAGCAUGCGGAUUAAUUCGAUGCAACGCGAAGAACCUUACCAAGGCUUGACAUCCACCGGACCGCCCCAGAGAUGGGGUUUCCCUUCGGGGCUGGUGGACAGGUGGUGCAUGGUUGUCGUCAGCUCGUGUCGUGAGAUGUUGGGUUAAGUCCCGCAACGAGCGCAACCCUCGUUCUAUGUUGCCAGCACGUGAUGGUGGGGACUCAUAGGAGACUGCCGGGGUCAACUCGGAGGAAGGUGGGGAUGACGUCAAAUCAUCAUGCCCCUUAUGUCUUGGGCUUCACGCAUGCUACAAUGGCCGGUACAAAGGGUUGCGAUACUGUGAGGUGGAGCUAAUCCCAAAAAGCCGGUCUCAGUUCGGAUUGAGGUCUGCAACUCGACCUCAUGAAGUCGGAGUCGCUAGUAAUCGCAGAUCAGCAACGCUGCGGUGAAUACGUUCCCGGGC
RNAcentral lists this ribosomal RNA (1241 nucleotides) under bacterium AM0156. Its description in RNAcentral is "bacterial SSU rRNA". It matches the Rfam family "Bacterial small subunit ribosomal RNA", at positions 127 to 1379 of the family's 1533-position model. The record is from RNAcentral.